This is a long non-coding RNA of Thalassophryne amazonica, 133 nucleotides long. RefSeq lists it as uncharacterized. Lineage: Eukaryota; Metazoa; Chordata; Actinopteri; Batrachoidiformes; Batrachoididae. The transcript has 3 exons. The record is from RefSeq and is a predicted model, not a curated record.
UUGCUCUGACAUUGUACUUUUUAAUGAAUAAAAAUAGAAGCCAAGUCAGAAGAAGUUGGUACAGUCAGAGAAAUGCUAAUUAAAACAAACAGUGACUCUUACAUUUGCUGUUAUUUCACUGCAGACUAUCAAC